RNAcentral lists this ribosomal RNA (459 nucleotides) under uncultured bacterium. RNAcentral's name for it is "partial 16S ribosomal RNA". It matches the Rfam family "Bacterial small subunit ribosomal RNA", at positions 338 to 795 of the family's 1533-position model. The record is from RNAcentral.
CCUACGGGUGACAGCAGUGAGGAAUAUUGGUCAAUGGCCGCAGGGCUGAACCAGCCAAGUCGCGUGAGGGAUGACGGUCCUAUGGAUUGUAAACCUCUUUUGUCAGGGAGCAAAGCGCGCCACGUGUGGCGCUUUGCGAGUACCUGAAGAAAAAGCAUCGGCUAACUCCGUGCCAGCAGCCGCGGUAAUACGGAGGAUGCGAGCGUUAUCCGGAUUUAUUGGGUUUAAAGGGUGCGCAGGCGGAAUGUCAAGUCAGCGGUAAAAUUUCGGGGCUCAACCCCGUCGUGCCGUUGAAACUGGCGUUCUUGAGUGAGCGAGAAGUAGGCGGAAUGCGUGGUGUAGCGGUGAAAUGCAUAGAUAUCACGCAGAACUCCGAUUGCGAAGGCAGCAUACCGGCGCUCAACUGACGCUCAUGCACGAAAGCGUGGGUAUCGAACAGGAUUAGAUACCCCUGUAGUC